Molecule: long non-coding RNA, 1602 nt
Organism: Lemur catta (Ring-tailed lemur)
Lineage: Eukaryota; Metazoa; Chordata; Mammalia; Primates; Lemuridae
Exons: 2
Source: RefSeq, a predicted model, not a curated record
UGUUUACGGCCCGACUGCGCACGCGUGCUCACCUGGCGCGCUCCACGCGGCGAGGCGUCCGUCGGCUCCUACCCUAGGCGCGGCCUCAGGCAUCCUGUGCUGUUCCCCAGGUGAUGCCGGCUCGGGCACGUGGGCAACCUAACUGUUCUGCCGCCGCCAGAGCCAGGGGAGAGCCGGUGAGGGAGAGCCUUGGCGGGGCUGGCAUCUGGAGUGCUGAGGUGAACUUGGGGUGGUCUCAACUGUCUCCGGCCCUGCCCUGAGCGGCCCCAGGAGGCUGAGGAGCAGAGGGCGAGCGUAGCCUCGACUGCCGCCGGCUUUGGUGUCAGCACGUGGGACACCCCGGGAGGUGGCGCGGAUGCCGCAGGGGUCGGGCGGGGCCGUGCCACCUCGCCUGGGCGCUGCCUUCGGGACGGGGACUGUCCCGGUCGGAGAGCCGAGGGGGACCCGCGCGACCGUCUGGAUGCCCAGGAAGGCCCUCUGCGCCUGGUGGGGCUUCCAGAACACUGGCAUCCAAAUCUUUACUCCCCAUGCAAAGAUUUUAGAAGAGUCGUCUCUGAAGAAUCUGACAAUUCCCAAGAUACAGGCUUAAGAGGUUCUCCCAACAAAUUGCCCAUGCAGAUAUCUUGCAGUGAAUCUCAAAGUCUUACAAACCAUGUGCUCAAAUCUUCCAAACAGCUUUUUAGUCCUCCACUCUUAAUCAUAAGCAGACAACCAAGGAUUAUCAUACAUAUGAGAAAAACCCCUAACUGUGAGUUUUAGAGAUCAAAACAAAUGGACAGAAAAAACCAGUAUUGAAGAAAACAGGAUGUACAAGGAAAUGAGAAUUUUAAAACACGUGAUAAUAUUAAUAUUCUCAGAUUGAGUAGAUACUGCAUCCAUGAAAUAAGAACAGACUGGCACUCGUGUAAGAAACUUCAGAAAAUAAAAAAAAAAAUCUUGAAUAUUAAAAACAUGAUAGCAGAAAUAAAAAUGCUAGAAGGAUUGGAAAAGAAAAUUAAAGAAAUCUCCCCAAAAGAGCAAUAAGUAAAGAGGAACCAUAAAAGAAUAAAAGCUAAGAGAGUAGAGGACCUGAGAGUUCAACCUACAAACAUUGCAGGAGGAAAUUAUCCACAAAAUAUUCAAGAAAAAUUUCCAGAACUAAAGGACAUGAGUUUACAGAGUGAAUGAGCCCACCAAGUGCCCAGGAAAAUGGGUAAAAAUAGAUCCAUACCAAGGUACAUCGUUGCAAAAUUUUAGAACCACUGGAGUAGAGAAGAUCCUACAAGCUUCCAGAGAGAAGAAAUGUCAUAUGAAAAGGAACAGAAAUCAGAAUGGCUUCAGACUUGUAAGCAACACCACCAAAAGCAAGAACGCAAGCUAGGGUAUAAACUCUUUGACUUUGUCUCUUUAUGUACCUUUGUCACUGUUCUUCACUGCUGGGUCCCAAGUGCUUAGAGACAGUGUUAGGCAUAGAGUAGGUUCUCAAUAAAAAUUUAUUGAGAGAAAGAAAACAAUAGAAAUGGCUUCAAAAUUCUGAGGAAAAAUUUCUUCUAGCCUAUAACUAAGCCAGUUAAUCAGUCAAAUACAAAUUUAGAAUAAAGACAUUGUUUGCAAAAUCUCAAA